This 431-nucleotide ribosomal RNA is filed under the name uncultured Lactococcus sp. Its description in RNAcentral is "bacterial SSU rRNA". It matches the Rfam family "Bacterial small subunit ribosomal RNA", at positions 355 to 774 of the family's 1533-position model. Lineage: Bacteria; Bacillati; Bacillota; Bacilli; Lactobacillales; Streptococcaceae. The record is from RNAcentral.
UAGGGAAUCUUCGGCAAUGGACGAAAGUCUGACCGAGCAACGCCGCGUGAGUGAAGAAGGUUUUCGGAUCGUAAAAACUUCGUGUUGGUAGAGAAGACGUUGGUGAGAGUGGAAAGCUCAUCAAGUGACGGUAACUACCCAGAAAGGGACGGCUAACUACGUGCCAGCAGCCGCGGUAAUACGUAGGUCCCGAGCGUUGUCCGGAUUUAUUGGGCGUAAAGCGAGCGCAGGUGGUUUAUUAAGUCUGGUGUAAAAAGGCAGUGGCUCAACCAUUGUAUGCAUUGGAAACUGGUAGACUUGAGUGCAGGAGAGGAGAGUGGAAUUCCAUGUGUAGCGGUGAAAUGCGUAGAUAUAUUGGAGGAACACCGGUGGCGAAAGCGGCUCUCUGGCCUGUAACUGACACUGAGGCUCGAAAGCGUGGGGAGCAAACA